UCCCUGGUAGCUCAGAGGUUAAAGCAUCUGCCUGCAAUGCGGGAGACCUGGGUUCGAUCCCUGGGUCGGGAA
RNAcentral lists this transfer RNA (72 nucleotides) under Bos taurus (domestic cattle). It matches the Rfam family "tRNA". From Rfam's summary of the family: Transfer RNA (tRNA) molecules are approximately 80 nucleotides in length. Their secondary structure includes four short double-helical elements and three loops (D, anti-codon, and T loops). Lineage: Eukaryota; Metazoa; Chordata; Mammalia; Artiodactyla; Bovidae. The record is from Rfam by way of RNAcentral. RNAcentral also lists the same sequence under 3 other names.